CCUACGGGAGGCAGCAGUGAGGAAUAUUGGUCAAUGGACGAGAGUCUGAACCAGCCAAGUAGCGUGAAGGAUGACUGCCCUAUGGGUUGUAAACUUCUUUUAUAAAGGAAUAAAACGAGGCACGUGUGCCUUUUUGCAUGUACUUUAUGAAUAAGGAUCGGCUAACUCCGUGCCAGCAGCCGCGGUAAUACGGAGGAUACGAGCGUUAUCCGGAUUGAUUGGGAUUAAAGGGAGCGUAGAUGGGUUGUUAAGUCAGUUGUGAAAGUUUGCGGCUCAACCGUAAAAUUGCAAUUGAUACUGGCAGUCUUGAGUACAGUUGAGGUAGGCGGAAUUCGUGGUGUAGCGGUGAAAUGCUUAGAUAUCACGAAGAACCCCGAUUGCGAAGGCAGCUUACUAAACUGUGACUGACAUUGAUGCUCGAAAGUGUGGGUAUCAAACAGGAUUAGAUACCCUUGUAGUC
This 460-nucleotide ribosomal RNA is filed under the name uncultured bacterium. RNAcentral describes it as "partial 16S ribosomal RNA". It matches the Rfam family "Bacterial small subunit ribosomal RNA", at positions 338 to 795 of the family's 1533-position model. The record is from RNAcentral.